GGUGUAGCCCUCCUCUGGUGACUCCCUAGAUCGUCACCAUAGCUAUGUGCCCCCUGCCUCCAGGAGGCCUGGGGGGACCUGCACACUGGCAGAACAUGACCACAAGGUCAUCUCACAUGGUUCUCUCCUGGAUUGCACAUCUCCUUUGGGUUGAACUUUCUACAACUAUGUGUCUCUGCCUCUCUGCUGGAGGAUCUGCUCCGUGUCCACAGACACUGUGCUGAGGCUUCUGUCUCAUGUCC
Perognathus longimembris pacificus (Pacific pocket mouse) is the source of this 242-nucleotide long non-coding RNA. RefSeq lists it as uncharacterized. The transcript is spliced from 3 exons. NCBI's taxonomy places the organism in Eukaryota, Metazoa, Chordata, Mammalia, Rodentia, Heteromyidae. The record is from RefSeq and is a predicted model, not a curated record.